This 414-nucleotide ribosomal RNA is filed under the name Aspergillus terreus. RNAcentral describes it as "SSU rRNA". It matches the Rfam family "Eukaryotic small subunit ribosomal RNA", at positions 601 to 1019 of the family's 1831-position model. Lineage: Eukaryota; Fungi; Ascomycota; Eurotiomycetes; Eurotiales; Aspergillaceae. The record is from RNAcentral.
GUAAUUAAAGUGUUGCAGUUAAAAAGCUCGUAGUUGAACCUUGGGUCUGGCUGGCCGGUCCGCCUCACCGCGAGUACUGGUCCGGCUGGACCUUUCCUUCUGGGGAAUCCCAUGGCCUUCACUGGCUGUGGGGGGAACCAGGACUUUUACUGUGAAAAAAUUAGAGUGUUCAAAGCCAGGCCUUUGCUCGAAUACAUUAGCAUGGAAUAAUAGAAUAGGACGUGCGGUUCUAUUUUGUUGGUUUCUAGGACCGCCGUAAUGAUUAAUAGGGAUAGUCGGGGGCGUCAGUAUUCAGCUGUCAGAGGUGAAAUUCUUGGAUUUGCUGAAGACUAACUACUGCGAAAGCAUUCGCCAAGGAUGUUUUCAUUAAUCAGGGAACGAAAGUUAGGGGAUCGAAGACGAUCAGAUACCGUC